UGGCGACCGGCGCACGGGUGAGUAACACGUAUCCAACCUGCCGAUGACUCGGGGAUAGCCUUUCGAAAGAAAGAUUAAUACCCGAUGGCAUAGUUCUUCCGCAUGGUAGAACUAUUAAAGGAUUUCGGUCAUCGAUGGGGAUGCGUUCCAUUAGGUUGUUGGCGGGGUAACGGCCCACCAAGCCUUCGAUGGAUAGGGGUUCUGAGAGGAAGGUCCCCCACAUUGGAACUGAGACACGGUCCAA
This 244-nucleotide ribosomal RNA is filed under the name uncultured bacterium. RNAcentral's name for it is "partial 16S ribosomal RNA". It matches the Rfam family "Bacterial small subunit ribosomal RNA", at positions 89 to 334 of the family's 1533-position model. The record is from RNAcentral.